GUCGAGCGGUAAGGCCCAUUCGGGGUACACGAGCGGCGAACGGGUGAGUAACACGUGGGUGAUCUGCCCUGUACUUCGGGAUAAGCCUGGGAAACUGGGUCUAAUACCGGAUAUGACCACUGGUCGCAUGGUUGGUGGUGGAAAGAUUUAUCGGUACAGGAUGGGCCCGCGGCCUAUCAGCUUGUUGGUGGGGUAAUGGCCUACCAAGGCGACGACGGGUAGCCGACCUGAGAGGGUGACCGGCCACACUGGGACUGAGACACGGCCCAGACUCCUACGGGAGGCAGCAGUGGGGAAUAUUGCACAAUGGGCGAAAGCCUGAUGCAGCGACGCCGCGUGAGGGAUGACGGCCUUCGGGUUGUAAACCUCUUUCGACAGGGACGAAGCGCGAGUGACGGUACCUGUAGAAGAAGCACCGGCCAACUACGUGCCAGCAGCCGCGGUAAUACGUAGGGUGCGAGCGUUGUCCGGAAUUACUGGGCGUAAAGAGCUUGUAGGCGGUUUGUCGCGUCGUUUGUGAAAACUUGGGGCUCAACCCCAAGCUUGCAGGCGAUACGGGCAGACUAGAGUACUUCAGGGGAGACUGGAAUUCCUGGUGUAGCGGUGAAAUGCGCAGAUAUCAGGAGGAACACCGGUGGCGAAGGCGGGUCUCUGGGAAGUAACUGACGCUGAGAAGCGAAAGCGUGGGUAGCGAACAGGAUUAGAUACCCUGGUAGUCCACGCCGUAAACGGUGGGUACUAGGUGUGGGUUUCCUUCCACGGGAUCCGUGCCGUAGCUAACGCAUUAAGUACCCCGCCUGGGGAGUACGGCCGCAAGGCUAAAACUCAAAGGAAUUGACGGGGGCCCGCACAAGCGGCGGAGCAUGUGGAUUAAUUCGAUGCAACGCGAAGAACCUUACCUGGGUUUGACAUAC
RNAcentral lists this ribosomal RNA (914 nucleotides) under Nocardia sp. NR 23. RNAcentral's name for it is "bacterial SSU rRNA". It matches the Rfam family "Bacterial small subunit ribosomal RNA", at positions 61 to 989 of the family's 1533-position model. The record is from RNAcentral. Lineage: Bacteria; Bacillati; Actinomycetota; Actinomycetes; Mycobacteriales; Nocardiaceae.